UGUGGGAGCUGGCUUGCCUGCGAUAGCGGUGUGUCAGUUGACAAUAAGGUGCUGACCCACCCCUAUCGCAGGCAAGCCAGCUCCCACA
RNAcentral lists this non-coding RNA (88 nucleotides) under Pseudomonas tolaasii NCPPB 2192. The record is from RNAcentral. Lineage: Bacteria; Pseudomonadati; Pseudomonadota; Gammaproteobacteria; Pseudomonadales; Pseudomonadaceae.